UACGAAGGGGGCUAGCGUUGUUCGGAAUUACUGGGCGUAAAGCGCACGUAGGCGGAUCGAUCAGUCAGGGGUGAAAUCCCAGAGCUCAACUCUGGAACUGCCUUUGAUACUGUCGAUCUAGAGUAUGGAAGAGGUGAGUGGAAUUCCGAGUGUAGAGGUGAAAUUCGUAGAUAUUCGGAGGAACACCAGUGGCGAAGGCGGCUCACUGGUCCAUUACUGACGCUGAGGCGCGAAAGUGUGGGGAGCGAACAGG
Molecule: ribosomal RNA, 253 nt
Filed under: uncultured bacterium
Lineage: Bacteria
Description: partial 16S ribosomal RNA
Rfam family: Bacterial small subunit ribosomal RNA
Source: RNAcentral